RNAcentral lists this long non-coding RNA (224 nucleotides) under Lathyrus oleraceus (garden pea). RNAcentral describes it as "Pisum sativum (pea) long non-coding RNA (PSAT_LNC039063)". Lineage: Eukaryota; Viridiplantae; Streptophyta; Magnoliopsida; Fabales; Fabaceae. The record is from RNAcentral.
AAACAUUUGAGAGAGUGAAAUCUGGUAUUCUGAAACGCAAGAUGGGGAAGGAAAUUGAAAAGUAUAUAUUUUUGUUGUUUUUUAACCAUUUCUCCUUGCCACGUGUCAGGCAGGAAGUGAAGAGUUUGUAAAGUGAAAUUUUUUCCUCUCUCUGAAAAAAGCCCUCCACCCUUUCCUCUUUUGUUUUUUCGUUCUCUUUUUUUUUAAUUCUUUUUUUACUUAUU